This 220-nucleotide unclassified non-coding RNA is filed under the name Hevea brasiliensis (rubber tree). Lineage: Eukaryota; Viridiplantae; Streptophyta; Magnoliopsida; Malpighiales; Euphorbiaceae. The record is from RNAcentral.
GGCCGAUUCGCUACAGUUCCCGCCUGGCUAUCUCGGUGCUGUUCCGGACCGCUCCGGUUCUGAUGAUGAUGCUGAGGGUAGUCUCAACGCCAUGGAGUAUUUGACCAGAAUCUUGGGUUCGAAGGUGUACGAUGUGGCUAUUGAAUCGCCGUUGCAGCUUGCGCCGACGUUGUCUGAACGUUUGGGGGUGAAUAUCUGGCUCAAGAGGGAGGACUUGCAG